This 830-nucleotide small RNA is filed under the name Parazoanthus axinellae. Its description in RNAcentral is "eukaryotic LSU rRNA". The stretch from base 367 to 520 matches the Rfam family "5.8S ribosomal RNA". The record is from RNAcentral. Lineage: Eukaryota; Metazoa; Cnidaria; Anthozoa; Zoantharia; Parazoanthidae.
CCUGCGGAGGAUCAUUACCGUUACCAUACAAGUGUCGCCCUUUGUGGUGGACUACACUGUGAACCUUACCACUAAUUGUUAGGGGUAGACCGUUGUGGUCUUUAAAUGGAAGUACCGUCCAAUAGAGCCUUUGCUUCGUGAAGGAGAUACGCUUCUCUUGCUCGAUGUUCCGUCUGCAGCGUGAAGAGACAUUGUGGUUGGUGGCUCUUGAUACUCGGGCAUUCAGCGACGAGGUGUUGCGAAUCUCUGUCGGACCGGUGCUUCAGUGGACUGCUUCCGGCCCCGUUUGUUUUUUACUACACCUUCCAUUCUCGACUGAAACUGUGUGCGUGUCCACGACACCCACUGCGAGGAAAAAAAAGAGACAACUUUUAACGGUGGAUCUCUUGGCUCGUGCAUCGAUGAAGAACGCAGCCAGGUGCGAUAAGUAGUGUGAAUUGCAGAAUUCAGUGAAUCAUCGAAUCUUUGAACGCAAAUGGCGCUCUUGGGUUCUCCCAGGAGCAUGUCUGUCUGAGUGUCGGUUUCCAAACCAUCGCGCGCCGCCUUCUCCCUGCGGGUGUUUGGCGGGUCUGUGCGGCAUUGAGGCGUCUCGGUCCAAAUAUCAAGGCCGCGUCCCUUGAAAUCUAGCGAGACUCGGUUGCGCAGAUUGUACUUCGCAAUACCGGAGGCCAAAAGUAAUUUCGUCCUCUCGGUUGCCCUGUAGAACUGCGUCUGGCAGAGUCGUCAAAGGCUGACAGUAGUGUGUCAAUCACACCAAAUCUUGACCUCAGAUCAGGCAAGGCUACCCGCUGAAUUUAAGCAUAUCAAUAAGCGGAGGAAAAGAAACUAAC